RNAcentral lists this ribosomal RNA (652 nucleotides) under Lysinibacillus sp. E102. Its description in RNAcentral is "bacterial SSU rRNA". It matches the Rfam family "Bacterial small subunit ribosomal RNA", at positions 28 to 662 of the family's 1533-position model. The record is from RNAcentral. Lineage: Bacteria; Bacillati; Bacillota; Bacilli; Caryophanales; Bacillaceae.
GCAGAACGCUGGCGGCGUGCCUAAUACAUGCAAGUCGAGCGAACAGAGAAGGAGCUUGCUCCUUUGACGUUAGCGGCGGACGGGUGAGUAACACGUGGGCAACCUACCUUAUAGUUUGGGAUAACUCCGGGAAACCGGGGCUAAUACCGAAUAAUCUAUUUUACUUCAUGGUGAAAUACUGAAAGACGGUUUCGGCUGUCGCUAUAAGAUGGGCCCGCGGCGCAUUAGCUAGUUGGUGAGGUAACGGCUCACCAAGGCGACGAUGCGUAGCCGACCUGAGAGGGUGAUCGGCCACACUGGGACUGAGACACGGCCCAGACUCCUACGGGAGGCAGCAGUAGGGAAUCUUCCACAAUGGGCGAAAGCCUGAUGGAGCAACGCCGCGUGAGUGAAGAAGGUUUUCGGAUCGUAAAACUCUGUUGUAAGGGAAGAACAAGUACAGUAGUAACUGGCUGUACCUUGACGGUACCUUAUUAGAAAGCCACGGCUAACUACGUGCCAGCAGCCGCGGUAAUACGUAGGUGGCAAGCGUUGUCCGGAAUUAUUGGGCGUAAAGCGCGCGCAGGCGGUCCUUUAAGUCUGUGUGAAAGCCCACGGCUCAACCGUGGAGGGUCAUUGGAAACUGGGGGACUGGUCAAAAGAAUGAUUCAGU